This 625-nucleotide ribosomal RNA is filed under the name Saccharomyces cerevisiae (brewer's yeast). RNAcentral's name for it is "eukaryotic LSU rRNA". It matches the Rfam family "Eukaryotic large subunit ribosomal RNA", at positions 49 to 664 of the family's 3401-position model. The record is from RNAcentral. Lineage: Eukaryota; Fungi; Ascomycota; Saccharomycetes; Saccharomycetales; Saccharomycetaceae.
AGCGGAGGAAAGAACCAACCGGGAUUGCCUUAGUAACGGCGAGUGAAGCGGCAAAAGCUCAAAUUUGAAAUCUGGUACCUUCGGUGCCCGAGUUGUAAUUUGGAGAGGGCAACUUUGGGGCCGUUCCUUGUCUAUGUUCCUUGGAACAGGACGUCAUAGAGGGUGAGAAUCCCGUGUGGCGAGGAGUGCGGUUCUUUGUAAAGUGCCUUCGAAGAGUCGAGUUGUUUGGGAAUGCAGCUCUAAGUGGGUGGUAAAUUCCAUCUAAAGCUAAAUAUUGGCGAGAGACCGAUAGCGAACAAGUACAGUGAUGGAAAGAUGAAAAGAACUUUGAAAAGAGAGUGAAAAAGUACGUGAAAUUGUUGAAAGGGAAGGGCAUUUGAUCAGACAUGGUGUUUUGUGCCCUCUGCUCCUUGUGGGUAGGGGAAUCUCGCAUUUCACUGGGCCAGCAUCAGUUUUGGUGGCAGGAUAAAUCCAUAGGAAUGUAGCUUGCCUCGGUAAGUAUUAUAGCCUGUGGGAAUACUGCCAGCUGGGACUGAGGACUGCGACGUAAGUCAAGGAUGCUGGCAUAAUGGUUAUAUGCCGCCCGUCUUGAAACACGGACCUCCUGUGUGAAGUGGAUCCGCUA